RNAcentral lists this ribosomal RNA (484 nucleotides) under uncultured bacterium. RNAcentral's name for it is "partial 16S ribosomal RNA". It matches the Rfam family "Bacterial small subunit ribosomal RNA", at positions 30 to 507 of the family's 1533-position model. The record is from RNAcentral.
AUUGAACGCUGGCGGCAGGCUCAACACAUGCAAGUCGAGCGGAUGAAGGGAGCUUGCUCCUGGAUUCAGCGGCGGACGGGUGAGUAAUACCUAGGAAUCUGCCUGGUAGUGGGGGAUAACGUCCGGAAACGGGCGCUAAUACCGCAUACGUCCUGCGGGGGCAAGUUGGGGGUGGUCGGAACUCACGCUAUCAGAUGAGCUUAGGCCGGAUUAGCUAGUUGGUGGGGUAAAGGCCUACCAAGGCGACGAUCGGUAACUGGUCUGAGAGGAUGAUCAGUGACACUGGAACUGAGACACGGUCAAGGCGCCUAAGAGACGCAGCAGUCGGCAAUAGGAGACAGCGGGCGAGAGCAUUACCCAGCGAUGCCGAGUGUGUGACGAAGGUCUUCGGAGUGUAAUGCCCGCCAAGUUGGGAGGAACCGCAGUCAGCUAUUACCUUGCUGUAGUGACGGUACUAACAAAAUAAGCACCGGCUAACUACGUG